This is a long non-coding RNA of Gallus gallus (chicken), 5503 nucleotides long. RefSeq lists it as uncharacterized. NCBI's taxonomy places the organism in Eukaryota, Metazoa, Chordata, Aves, Galliformes, Phasianidae. The record is from RefSeq and is a predicted model, not a curated record. The transcript is spliced from 3 exons.
GAGAAACAGGAAGCAUCCAAGCUGUGGAGAGAUGCUGGAGAUCAGAGACCCAAGCUGCAAGUUCAGUCUCAGCACAGACCAGCACCUCUAAUGUUGUGAAAUGCUAUUGGAUGAGUUUGGGUAUCCCUGCAGUGUGAUCUCCUGCUCACCAUAGCUGGGUGCAUCUGGCAGACCUGGAAAUAAUACUUCAGCUCAGUGCCCAUUGAAGAGGAGCGCAGAGCAGAAAAUCAGUCCCUCUGAAAGCAUCCACGGAGAAUGGAGUAUCAUGUAAGAGGCCCUACAGGCGCUGACCAAACUCUCCCGGAGCACGUCCGGGCAGGACAGCUUGGCUACGGAUGCACAGUUCAGCUAUGAACUUUCCCAAAGUUCAGGGCUGUGCCUACCAGCGCAUCGCACCCAGCCCAGCGCAGGGACAGCACUUCCUCAUCUCCAGCGGAGGAUCAAAGCUGCGAUCCACCCCACGCAACCGUUCCCAUCACCAUCAUUAGUCCGGAGAGUGACACUGAGACAUUCAAAGAGUAACUGAGCACUUCGCGAUGCUAAAUCUGAAGGCGCUCGUCUGUUCCCAUGCAGGAUGGGGCUCCUGACUCAGCCAUCCCAGCUGUAAGUCUGAAGAUGGGGAAGAUCACCUGUGCCUAACUUCCGUGGGAGCCAGGAAUGUCCUGUUGCUGAUGGCCCAGACCAUGGUGAAGGGUGCUGGGACACUGUUUGGUUUCAGAACCAUCUGUGUUAAAUUUGACGUUUAGUAGAUCUCAAAUUAGAGCAACAAUAGAGCCCUGGCUGCUGCAGGCAGAGAGCAGGGCCCAGAGCAGUGAGAAGGCAGAGGGGAUCGUGCUACAGUGACUCCAGGGCACUGAAGUGCACGAAUAAAACCGAAGUGCAAAAUGUCACGAGAAUUCAUCAUGUUGUCCAGGGAGAAUAUGGGGUUAAUCUCCUAGACAGCAAACCAAGGACAAGCUUAGGGUGAGCAAGGUUAUUGUCAAACUCCAAACCAACGUGAGCAGUUUCACGUACGUCUUCACAAAUAGGCAGCACUCAUCAAAGCAGCUAAUUUAGCAAUUGUCAUUGAAUUCAUCAGUAAAAAUAAAUGUCUGUGGGUGGAGAUGGCUACUCUGAUGGGUCAUUUGGGCACGACAUUGCUGGUAAUCCUUUGGCAUGAGAAUAAUAUAGGAGAACCCAAAGCUCUGGGUGCAGCACCCUGGAGGUGGAGCUCCAUGCCAAUGGGGCUUCCCCUGCCAUAGCUGCAUGUCAUGCUGUGCCACUGCUAGGGCUCUGCUGUGUUCUCACUCUGAAUUUUCUCAUUUAAGCAUUUCUUUUGUAACUGUGCUUCCAAUUUUGUAAUCAAGAGCUGAACUGUGUUUGAUGCAGAUUAAGUAUAUUCCUAUUAACAGGCUGCCUUGAUGUUUAAUGUGGAACCACUCCCUCUUCCUGGACGCAGCAAACCCAAAUAACUCAGAAUCGCUGACGUGGCCCUUUAAGCUCCUGCAGCUGAGGUGGGAAUGGCGUGAGCACCAGUAUCAGGUAGCACCUGGCAAAGGGAAACUCAUGCAGAUGUCACACAACACUUUCUGGCAUGGAGCAGACAACAGCAGGACAACGUAGCAGCAGCAAUGUACCCCUUAUCCUCAUCUCUGUUUCUAUAAGGCGUCACAAUGAGUUCUUUAUGAUAUUGUGAGCUGCAAUAAUGCUAACAAAAAUCAGUGCAGGAUGCAUUAAAUAGCCUGAAACAACUUCAAAGGCAGAACACAAACAUAACUUUUACAAGGAAGCCUUUUGAUUUGGGGUGGUUUUGGAUGUUUCCUGGGAAGAUGCAUUCUUGUGCUGUGGGUUCAACAAGCUUUUCACUAUUUGUUUUCAACAGCCUGGGAGGAAAUAUAAUACCAGCAUUGAGAAGAAUGUCAAGAAAACACUGGCAGCAAGUUGGAUUAGCUUUUCACUCUGCUAGGAAAAAAGCAUCCUGAAAUUCAGGAUGUUUAAGUCCAAAGUACAUCAAUUAAUAUGGGAAAUAUGACUUUUGUUUCUAACUAACUGGUACUUAAAUUUGAACAGAGGUGGCUUCUUCAUCACACACUGGCAAAUUGCUGAAGUGGACAUGAGCAAACAGCUUGUUUGCCUCUUGGCCAUGGGUAUUUCUGCAGAGAAAAGCGUUCAGAGUGGCGGACACUCCCACAGUGCUUGCUGACCACGCUGUUCUGUACCUGUGACACAGUGUCAGAUACUGACCUAGAAGGAAGAGUUUAGCGCUGAGAAAGGAGUUAGGUCCUUCACUUGUCACUGCCUCCUAACAGUAAGAGGUGAAGAACGGGGAUAUAGGGAGACACUGGGAAGAACGGCUUCACCACAGAGUUUUCCUGCUGCUGAGAUUGGUAGUAGGUUCACUAAGGAAAAACAAACCAUCGUUUCCAAAGCACACAUCCCUGUUUCCUCCAGUAGCAGCAAAACUGGCUUCAGCUGGGAAGACGGGAGAACUGUGGGGACCUGGGCUGUACCCCUGACGGAGCACUUAUGUGAUCCCACACAGGCCGUGACAAACAUCUCAGCUUCCCCACCUCCGGAUAAGGAACAGUGACAGUUUGUCAUGUCUGCACAUAGCUUUGCAAUGGGCAGAUUUACAGUAAUAUUAAAAAUAUGAUCAGAGAGAGCUGAGCUGCUCCCUCCUUUCCCCUUAGAGCAGCCAGGUCUGACAGUCCAAAGAACAAGAGGCAAGAUGGCACCAACCCACGGCAGGAGAUGCACCCUAAUCUUACCUAAUCUUUUACUUACAGAAUUUCUGUGGCAAUGGGAUCAUACAGUUUUAAUGAAGAAUUGGAUCAUAUGUUUGUUUGUUGAUUUUAUUUUCUGUUUAUCUUUUGUGAGAGAGAGAUUUGUGGCAUUUAAAAGUAUUUUGUAGAUUUUCCUCUCUGUUACAGCAUUCUAUUUUGAAAGCUUACGGUCAUGUCAUGCAGAGAAUGAACCUCAGUGCUUCUUAUGGCAUCACCAGAUACUCAUCACAGUAUUCUGCCCCCAUAUACACACUGAGUGAACAGCCUCUCUCCACAGCUCUCCAGCGAUUACACCAUGUCAUUGGUGUCUACCCUUCUAAAAAUUAUUUUGAGAAAAUAACAUAAAAAUUGUGCUGUGAACUUCUUUCCAUCAGAAACCAUGGGACUCUCAAGCUGUGGAAAGAAGCAAAGCCUUCCCUAGAGCCUGGCAGCAAGCUGCAUUCUUGGCCGGACCGGAGGUCAGGAGGUGACCUUGCCCUGCCACACUUCCCGAUCCACCCUGGGCUGCUGCAGGAUUGCUCGCUGCCCCAGUGCUCAGCGCGGCCGGCACCAACAUGGCCUGACAGGGCUGGAGGGAAAAGGAAGCUGUUCCUAUUCCCACAGCCUGUUGUUUGUUUUUCAUGGUGAAUGGCAGCUCCAUCACUGUGUCCCACACGGUCCAGGCAGGGAGACGUGGGCUGAGGGCUGAGGCAGGUCGGCAGCCGUGCCAUACAGGUGCCACUGCCGGUGGGCCCCGCAGGGAGUAGCAGAGUGCUGCUACUUGGGCGGUGGGACAUCAGCCCACUGGUCCCAUCCCGCAACUGCUUCCUAUCUGAAUCUUCAAUUUCUUUUCUUCUGCUUCCUAGCCGAGCUUACAAAAGAUAUGACACGUGCUGUCACGUACACCUGGGAUGAUUUCUUGGCUUACUGAACAGUUGAGUGAAUGUCACUGGAGAUUCUCGGUUAGAAAGUGCAACGCCGACCAUCAUUGUAAGAAGAAAAAAUCUGAAGAAGUCCUAAAAGCUAGGAUGUACCAAUGGAUCUACAAUAAGAGCUCAAAAUAAAUAGUUAAAUAAUUAAAUAAUCAAUCAAAUAAAUACAUAAAUAGUGGAUUCACUAAGGCAUGUGUCUUUGUAGAAAUUAUCUGAAUAGGAAAAUAAUUCAAAGGACAGCAAAAGAGUCCAAUUUAACAUUUGGUUCAGAAAAGCAUCCUUACCCAACACAGAAGCCAAAAUCCUUGUAUAGAGAAGCUAAGCAUGUACUUAAAUGAUCUUCUGACUCAUGAAUUAUAUUUCAUUCAGAGGAAAGAGGUAUUAUCAGUUACAUUUCAUUGCAUUGUUGGAGACAGAUGAGUAUGUGAUUUAUUGGGCAAUCUGAAGUAGGACAAGGCACACGUGCAAAGUGAAAACAAUGUUAAACAGAGCUAGUUACUGGAGAGCUGCACAGCUUGAGUGAGAACAUAACCCUUAAUCCUCAGUGACUGCCGUGUCUUUCACCAUGCGCUCAGCAGCACGGCUGCACUUUGUAUGUGUGCAGCGUAGAUAAAGAAAAGCCAGUUUUACGGCAAGGGAAGCGCUGUUACAGUGCUGGGUUGGCCAGAAGGAACACCAAGUCACAUCUGAAAGACUGCUUUCAAGUUGCCUGACAGCCAGAGAUGUGUGCAUCCUUGCUCACAGGAUUGUAGCUGUCCAGGAUAUUCAUUUGGGCCUGAACUGAAGACUGCUGCCAGAUGGGAUAGUGCAAGGUCUUCGUGUAUGGGAGCACUGUGGAAGAAGGUACAUUACCAAGGCACAUCAUUUGCACAGUGUACAAAUCCAAGCUCACUCUUUCUGGUUGCAAAUGUGCCACAAAAUGGGUGGCCAGAGCUGAUGAAUGCACUGUUACUGUUUGUAUCACAUUGACCCCCAUGGAAACUUCAGUUUUUCUGCAAGAGAGCUGUAGCAACAAUCAAGAAUUCACAGUCUGAUUGGAUCAAACUCCAACAGCCAUGUUUUUCUGGGAGUAAUCAGGAGCACAGACUAUUCCUUUUGCUUCUGAGGAAACAGAUCUAAGGGCACACAAGGGAGAAACUAGAGAGCUCAGCACCAGAUCCAACUUGUCUUUCUCAUGUUAAUCACCUGUCUGUCAUAACACAACAGGUAAUUCCCAUUGUACAAGCAGGUACUUGGAAGACAAAGACAGCUAGCCACAUAUGUGAGGCUUAAAAUUACUGGCAAGUGCAGAAAUCACCCUACCUGAGACAUACGAGGCUGUGAGUUAGCCUGGCAUUCCCUAGUGAGAACCUGGCAGACGUGCGGCGUUUCUUUUGUGAAAACUCCUCGAUUCUUGCAAGACUGCCCACUCCCAUUUGUCUCUGCAAGGUUUCGUUUGGCCCAUUGCUGCCAGAGCUUCAGCUGAUGGCACACAGUAACAAAAGGAGCACGGGUACACUGGAAAGUGUGUUUCGUGGCCUCACCCACAUUAGCACUGGCUGGUAUUAGGCAUAUCCAUAUCCCACGGCGAGAAUUAUUGUACACUCAUUCAUGGCUGUUGCUGUGCGUUUGAUUCUGCUCUGUAUAGCUAUUGUACCUUUAGGAUUUAAAUUGUCAAGCAAAGAGCCUGCUCUGUAUUUUCUUUGCUCUUGUUUUGUGUCUGCUUUACAUAAUGAUCGAGGAUUAUACUGGUCUUACCUGCUUGUCAGGCAGCUAUUCCACUAAGUAAUAACUGUAUUGUUCUAAAUGUCUCACAUUUCUUGACUCAAAUUCAAUUUACGUUUUUGUCAC